UGCAUUAGAGCGGAUGUACACUAACAAUCCUUCGGGUGCGUUAAUGGGCUUUCAGCGGCGGACGGGUGAGUAAUGCCUAGGAAAUUGCCUUGAUGUGGGGGAUAACCAUUGGAAACGAUGGCUAAUACCGCAUAAUGCCUACGGGCCAAAGAGGGGGACCUUCGGGCCUCUCGCGUCAAGAUAUGCCUAGGUGGGAUUAGCUAGUUGGUGAGGUAAUGGCUCACCAAGGCGACGAUCCCUAGCUGGUCUGAGAGGAUGAUCAGCCACACUGGAACUGAGACACGGUCCAGACUCCUACGGGAGGCAGCAGUGGGGAAUAUUGCACAAUGGGCGAAAGCCUGAUGCAGCCAUGCCGCGUGUAUGAAGAAGGCCUUCGGGUUGUAAAGUACUUUCAGUUGUGAGGAAGGGGGUAGCGUUAAUAGCGCUAUCUCUUGACGUUAGCAACAGAAGAAGCACCGGCUAACUCCGUGCCAGCAGCCGCGGUAAUACGGAGGGUGCGAGCGUUAAUCGGAAUUACUGGGCGUAAAGCGCAUGCAGGUGGUUCAUUAAGUCAGAUGUGAAAGCCCGGGGCUCAACCUCGGAACUGCAUUUGAAACUGGUGAACUAGAGUACUGUAGAGGGGGGUAGAAUUUCAGGUGUAGCGGUGAAAUGCGUACAGAUCUGAAGGAAUACCAGUGGCGAAGGCGGCCCCCUGGACAGAUACUGACACUCAGAUGCGAAAGCGUGGGGAGCAAACACGAUUAUAUACCCUGGUAGUCCACGCCGUAAACGAUGUCUACUUGGAGGUUGUGGCCUUGAGCCGUGGCUUUCGGAGCUAACGCGUUAAGUAGACCGCCUGGGGAGUACGGUCGCGCGAUUCACAUCUCAAAUGAAUUGACGGGUGCCCGCGCAUCGGUGGAGCAUGU
RNAcentral lists this ribosomal RNA (905 nucleotides) under Vibrio sp. RNAcentral describes it as "bacterial SSU rRNA". It matches the Rfam family "Bacterial small subunit ribosomal RNA", at positions 56 to 942 of the family's 1533-position model. Lineage: Bacteria; Pseudomonadati; Pseudomonadota; Gammaproteobacteria; Vibrionales; Vibrionaceae. The record is from RNAcentral.